GUAAAAGGCAAGAAACAAAGACAAGAUAAAGAUGAAAACGUGUUCUUUAUUGACUCUCUCUUACCUUACCCAAAGACUAGCCCUUUUUACAUGUUUAUAUAAAAGACUCAGAUUAAGCUCUACCCACUACAUCACAGCAGGUUAAGCUCACCUGCUCUACCCACUACAUCACAAGCUCACCUGCUCUACCCACUACAUCACAUCCGACAGAGACAGGACGGACUUCUUCAUAUUCUCCAUUUGGGGUUUAUACGAAGUAUCAGUAUGGCCUUUA
RNAcentral lists this long non-coding RNA (274 nucleotides) under Brassica napus (rape). RNAcentral describes it as "long non-coding RNA (BNAP_LNC010298)". The record is from RNAcentral. Lineage: Eukaryota; Viridiplantae; Streptophyta; Magnoliopsida; Brassicales; Brassicaceae.